GACGAACGCUGGCGGCGUGCUUAACACAUGCAAGUCGAACGGAAAGGCCCUGCUUUUGUGGGGUGCUCGAGUGGCGAACGGGUGAGUAACACGUGAGUAACCUGCCCUUGACUUUGGGAUAACUUCAGGAAACUGGGGCUAAUACCGGAUAGGAGCUCCUGCUGCAUGGUGGGGGUUGGAAAGUUUCGGCGGUUGGGGAUGGACUCGCGGCUUAUCAGCUUGUUGGUGGGGUAGUGGCUUACCAAGGCUUUGACGGGUAGCCGGCCUGAGAGGGUGACCGGCCAAAUUGGGACUGAGAUACGGCCCAGACUCCUACGGGAGGCAGCAGUGGAGAAUAUUGCACAAUGGGCGGAAGCCUGAUGCAGCAACGCCGCGUGCGGGAUGACGGCCUUCGGGUUGUAAACCGCUUUCGCCUGUGACGAAGCGUGAGUGACGGUAAUGGGUAAAGAAGCACCGGCUAACUACGUG
RNAcentral lists this ribosomal RNA (468 nucleotides) under uncultured bacterium. Its description in RNAcentral is "partial 16S ribosomal RNA". It matches the Rfam family "Bacterial small subunit ribosomal RNA", at positions 28 to 507 of the family's 1533-position model. The record is from RNAcentral.